Molecule: long non-coding RNA, 1161 nt
Filed under: Sarcophilus harrisii (Tasmanian devil)
Lineage: Eukaryota; Metazoa; Chordata; Mammalia; Dasyuromorphia; Dasyuridae
Description: lncRNA (ENSSHAG00000029505.1)
Source: RNAcentral
CUAGAUCCAAAGUGACUCUUGCUCAUCUUACUCCACCCCCUAGUCCAUCCUACAUUUCUCUGUAUACACCAAUCAUCAAGUCAGCACAGGAUAGUGGGAAGGGCCAUUUUCCAAGCAUAUGCCCAUAGAGCAUUGUCCAAUUGGUAUUCAGCCUCAAGUGCUCAGCUGUCCUGACCUCAGUGCAUCGACUCAAGAGUUUCAGCCCUCUACAUCUCCUGCUUUCUUUUGUUUUAGAACACAGGUGGUCACGCCAUCCCUGACUUCUCAGGGAGGUGAGAACCCCAAAACGAGGGGAUCACGCUCCCCCUGACUUCUCAGGAAGGGAGAUGAAAAACACCAAAGGGAAGUGGGGAUUGCUAACAGGUUUCUGGGCUGAAGGGUUUUAUUAGAAACAGGUAUGCACAAACCCAUCAGCAUGGGAGGUAUUACACAAGCACAUAUCAAUAAUGCACAGGCUAUUAGUGAUGACUCCCCCACAACCAGUGCAGGCUCAUGUGGUGCAAGAAACAUCAAUUGUACAUGCAAGUAGUGAUAUAAUAAACAAUAUGAAUCAACAUAGUGUUAGUGUUGUAAAAGAUUUCCAGAAGUCCUAGAAGGAGGGUAUGUAAACAACAGUCACACAUACGCCUUCUUCAGCAGCCAAGAGAUAGUCCAAAACCAAUCUAUUGUCCAUUGCAUCACAUGUCAGGGGAUCCAAUGAUCCCCGCAAGUUUUUGAAGUCCUGCAACAGUCUUUUGAUGUGGUGGGGAAUCCAAUGAUUCCAGCAGAUUUUGAAGUCCUGCAACAGUCUUAUGUCUCAGAGAAUCCAAUGAUUCCUGAGGGUUUUGAAGUCCUACAAUUUUUGAUGUCCAUGAGUCAAACGCCAUAACUGCCAUGCUCAUUCAGUGGUGAGCACAGUCAGCAACAGAACCACCUGAUGUUUCUUGGGUCUUCUCCUUCCUUUCAUCUCUCUCUGAUGGACAAAGCGAAUACGGCUCAUUGGCACCCAUCUGAAUCCUUCUCCAUCUGUGGAGAUACAAGCAAACCCUCUCCCCCAAGCAGUUUACCUGUCUGGUCCUUUCCAUUGACCACUUUCUGGGACUCCCCACAGUACCUGGCGAUUAUCUAAAGAUAGUGGAGCCCCUUGCACUGGACACUGCCCUUCCAGUGGGUUCUAAAACC